AAGCCACAUUCUCCUUCCUACAAAUUGGAAGCAGAAGAUCAGAGAGGUUAAGCAUGGGUCAAGGGCAUACCACUGCUAAACAGCGGGCUGGAAGGGGACCCAAAGAUGCUUCGCAUGGACGCUGGAGCCUCUUCCCAACUGCCUGUGCGCCCUGAGGCUAAUGGAUUCUGGAGAGAGGCUAUGAAGGAGAGUAGAAAAGUACAUGGGUCAAAUAAACCAAUUUCCUGGCCUGCAGGACACUGCUGAGCUCCGCCUGGCCUCCAAGCCUGUCAUCCCAACUCCUCUCGAGAGCCUGAAGCAGAAGGGUCAUGAGUUCAAAGACUGCCCGGGCUACAGCCUGAGCCCAAGGCCAGACCGAGCAAUUUAAUGAGGCCCUGACUCAAAAUAAAAAGUAAUACAAAAGAGCUGGGGGCGUGGCUCUGUGGUAGAGCACUUGCUGAGCGCGCGCGUGAGGCCCUGGCUUCCAUCCCCAGCAGUGCCAAAGACAGAAAGAGAAGCAAAAUCAGUUUGACACCGUCACACACAUCAGACACAAGUCACAGCAUGCAGCCACACAUCCAGCUUGCCUGGCUGGGUCACUGCAGGGCUCACAGGCAACGAUGCAGAGACACUUGGCCCUGAAAGGUGAAAGACUGAAAUUGCCAGUUUCGGUCACACACCGGAUGAUGCAGCAAAGCCCUACUACAGUCAGAAGUCCCCAAACUCACAGAAGGCCAGGGUAGCCCGUGGCCCUGCUUGCACGCUUGGAAACCCAUCGUUUCCCCCAGAGCAACAGUUCCCAUCCAUUUUAUGUGAAUUCUUCGGAGAAAGCAUUCCUUCCCCCCACCCCUCAGUUUUUCCACCAGUGCGGUGUGAGGCUUCAGGCCAGGAAAGAGCAGAAACUAAAAGUAUCACUCAACUUUGGAAUGCAAGAGAAAUUAAUUAAAUCCAAAUUUGCCCCAGAAUGCUGGGAGUUGAACGCCACUCAAGACAGACUUGCGAUCCGGAUUGGAUUUCAAAGCCGUUUCUGAGAAACCUCUGGGAGCUGUUUUGCGGCCCACGGCAGAGAUGGAGUUGCCUGGCACAAGCCCACAGGGCAGGUGGGAGACCUGUCUCGAGCUCAGUGACACUGGGACGGCCUGGCGUGAAAUGAAAACUGGGGAGAGUUGCUGGGCAACACAGACCUGAUGCUGCUUGGACCAGGGCCUGGAUUUGCCAGCUGAGUGGGUGGUGGCUCUGUUCAUUUGUAAGGAGCCAAGCAGAGAAGACAGGGCGGCUUUACCCCGAGGAGCAGAAGGGAGGGGCACUCCCACCCAGGCAAGGGACCACAGGGGAUUUCUUUCAGUAACUUAUAAAGAUUCUCCUGGGGCAUAAGUGGAUCCCCUGGGAACACCUAGUAUUAUAAAACCCACCAAAACUGUACCCAUCUGUUCUCCAGUCAUUGCCAGGAGGCAGCUAUAGUGAGGAUCCCAACUACAAAAGGCCUCGGUAGACCUGGCUCCACCAUCCUACGCAGGACUUACGGUGGUUGGUUGCCAGUUAUCCACAAGCAUGAAGAAAGGAAUGUGUACACACCCUAUAAGAACGACUGCAUGGUUUUCAACACUAGCUGGGUUCAGACGACGUUUAAGUCCCACCGGCCAUUUAUGCCUGCAGUGGAUCCCUGGGAUGUGAUGGGAGAGAGUCACUCGCUCUGCUUUACUUUCUGAGUUUUUCUUCACCCUUUUGAUGAACCUGGUGAGGCAUUUGUGGGGAGAUUGACACAGGACACACAGUGAACGGCACAAAGCCAUUCACUCCGGAAGCGUACCUCUUUGAAGUCGGAGUGAACCCACCAGGCAGAUGGGCAUACAUGUCAGCCAGCUGCUGGAAUGUGACACCACAGGGUGCGUGAUGGUGAUCUAGCGUGUUGGGAGGGAUUGCUUGGACCGCCAACUUGAGGCCACCCAGAUACCUGGAGAGAGCGUCUCAGUGUGGGAUUGUCUAGACCAGGCUGGCCAGUGAGGAUGUCUAGGUGGGCCUAUCUUAUGUGAACUGAUGUGGGAAGCCCCCGUCCCCUGUGGGUGGCACCAUUGCCUAGGCAGGGGGUCCUGAACCGUGGAGAGAGUGAGCUGAGCACAAGCCAGCCAGCAUUUUUCCUUGCUCUUGUGGCAGUGAUGUGACCAGCUGUGUGACAUUUCUGCCUUGGCUUCUGCACGUGAUGGACUGGAACCUGGAACUGAGAGUGGAGAGCAACUUUCUCCUCUAAGUUGUCCGCUGUUAAUUGCAGUCAAGAGACUAGAGCACGCUGGUGUCUUGGCGCUUGUCCAGCUGACAUGCCUUCUAGUAAUAAACGUGAUGGACUUUA
This is a non-coding RNA of Myodes glareolus (Bank vole), 2326 nucleotides long. The record is from RefSeq and is a predicted model, not a curated record. Lineage: Eukaryota; Metazoa; Chordata; Mammalia; Rodentia; Cricetidae.